Dinoponera quadriceps is the source of this 1257-nucleotide long non-coding RNA. RefSeq lists it as uncharacterized. The transcript is spliced from 3 exons. NCBI's taxonomy places the organism in Eukaryota, Metazoa, Arthropoda, Insecta, Hymenoptera, Formicidae. The record is from RefSeq and is a predicted model, not a curated record.
UAUAACAUGCCGAAAGGCGUCUCACGAUUCUCGCUCGAGCGGAAAUUACACUCGUCGCGAAAUUAUACCGGUCUUUCGUCUUUCCUCGCGCGAUCGAAUAAAUUCCGAAAUUGCAUUCGCAGUUCAAGAGAGAAGAUCGCGAUUUCGCCGCAAUUAACGCUGCCGAGUCCAUUGUUGUUGUCAUUAGUGUUAAUAUCGUUUCAAGAAUCUCGAAUCUGAUGCAAUUAGCGCGUCGUCCGCGAAGUGGAUUGCGAGGCGUCGCUUUGAACCAGAGGUGUGCCACAUCGUCACUUGCUUGUGAACUUUAGACUCCGAAGUUUCGCCGAUUCAGCAAUUAUCGAACUUCGCCACCACUCCACGGUGGCUCCCAUUCGGUUUUCUGUGCCGCAGCGAGCGAAUUAAAUGACGUAACGUCGAUGCGCUGCGGCAUGUGUUGCACAGUGGUCUGCACUCAGAGAAAAGUUCAUUGUUGUGGUACCUGUCUCAACUAUAAAAGUUUCACAUGUAGAAAAAUAUAUUUAGAGCUACUGAAGAUGCUGUGGUUGUGUGACAACUGUAUAUAUUAUACAUUCAGAUAGCACAAAAUGACCCAGAAUCAUGUGUGGAGAAUGCUGUGAGGAAUGUCGAUAUGUUCAGAGCACAUUCGGGACGUAUCGUAUAAUUUUUCGAAACAAUAACCUUCCGCGCGUCCUUCCGCGUCGAACCGCCAGCAACACAAUAACGGCGCACAUAAAAAUUGCGAAUGGCCGAGCGGCAAUAAUCUCGAUACGCGCGCGUGUGCAAAAUGCGGUGCGCGAUCGUUUUCUCUCUUUUUUUCUUGCGCCGUAUCUGUCUCAUUAAUUUGCAGAUCCAGUGCCGCGCGACGGGAAUAAUCCGCGAUCAAAGCGCGCUUGUUCGUUUCAGUUCGCGCGACAGAAGAAGCGCAAAGAAGACGUUGACAGAUGUUAACAAGGGAUUUGCGGCCUAAGCGAUAUUAUUAGACGGGUAUAUCAAGACUUGCAAAACAUACACUAGAUUCUUUAAUUCUUUUUAUCUAAUUAGGUGCUCAGAUAAAGCAGUCGUAUUAGUCACAGCUCUACCUCGCCUAUUGGUUCCCUAUAUCGGUUAAUUCUUAACUUUUAAUUUUUUAAAUUUAUAUUGUAGUACUUUGCCUAACAGACUUUUUAUUAUUCGAGACCAAUAAAGUUAUUAUUAUUAAAUAUAUAGACUCGUAUUCACAGACCGUUAUCGCCGGCUAUUUGGAUCAAUAUUAUUAUU